GGUUGUUGCCGGGGUAACAGCCCACCAAGCCGACGAUCGGUACGGGCAGUGAGAGCUGUAGCCCGGAGAUGGGACUGAGACAAGGCCCCAGGCCCUACGGGGCGCAGCAGGCGCGAAACCUUCACAAUGCACGAAAGUGUGAUGAGGGUACUCCGAGUGCGCAUACAUUUGUAUGUGCUUUUCUGCAGCGUAAAUAGUUGCAGGAAUAAGGGCUGGGCAAGACCGGUGCCAGCCGCCGCGGUAACACCGGCAGCCCUAGUGGUGGCCGCUUUUAUUGGGCCUAAAGCGUCCGUAGCCGGAUAGGCAAGUCUUUGGGUAAAUCCUACGUCUUAAGCGUGGGAAUUCUAAAGAUACUACCUGUCUUGAGGCCGGGAGAGGCUAGAGGUACUCCUGGGGUAGGGGUAAAAUCCUAUAAUCCUGGGGGGACCACCGAUGGCGAAGGCAUCUAGCUGGAACGGGCCUGACGGUGAGGGACGAAACCCAGGGGAGCGAGCCGGAUUAGAUACCCGGGUAGUCCUGGGCGUAAAUGAUGUGGGCUUGGUGUGAGCGCAUCGACGAGGUGCGUUUGUGCCGUAGGGAAGCCGUUAAGCCCACCGCCUGGGGAGUACGGUCGCAAGGCUGAAACUUAAAGGAAUUGGCGGGGGAGCACUACAAGGGGUGGAGGCUGCGGUUUAAUUGGAUUCAACGCCGGG
Molecule: ribosomal RNA, 692 nt
Filed under: uncultured archaeon
Lineage: Archaea
Description: bacterial SSU rRNA
Rfam family: Archaeal small subunit ribosomal RNA
Source: RNAcentral